AACGGUGGAGCCUGCGGUUUAAUUGGACUCAACGCCGGGCAGCUCACCGGAUAAGACAGCUGGAUGAUAGCCGGGCUGAAGACUCUGCUUGACUAGCUGAGAGGAGGUGCAUGGCCGUCGUCAGUUCGUACUGUGAAGCAUCCUGUUAAGUCAGGCAACGAGCGAGACCCACGCCAACAGUUGCCAGCAUGUCCUCCGGGAUGAUGGGGACACUGUUGGGACCGCCUCUGCUAAAGAGGAGGAAGGAAUGGGCAACGGUAGGUCAGCAUGCCCCGAAUUAUCCGGGCUACACGCGGGCUACAAUGGUCAGGACAAUGGGUAUCGACACCGAGAGGUGGAGGCAAUCUCCUAAACCUGUCCUUAGUUCGGAUUGUGGGCUGCAACUCGCCCACAUGAAGCUGGAAUCCGUAGUAAUCGCGUUUCAAAAUAGCGCGGUGAAUAUGUCCCUGCUCCUU
RNAcentral lists this ribosomal RNA (455 nucleotides) under uncultured Methanolinea sp. RNAcentral's name for it is "bacterial SSU rRNA". It matches the Rfam family "Archaeal small subunit ribosomal RNA", at positions 883 to 1338 of the family's 1478-position model. The record is from RNAcentral. Lineage: Archaea; Methanobacteriati; Methanobacteriota; Methanomicrobia; Methanomicrobiales; Methanoregulaceae.